Capsicum annuum is the source of this 1442-nucleotide long non-coding RNA. RefSeq lists it as uncharacterized. The record is from RefSeq and is a predicted model, not a curated record. The transcript is spliced from 2 exons. NCBI's taxonomy places the organism in Eukaryota, Viridiplantae, Streptophyta, Magnoliopsida, Solanales, Solanaceae.
UGCAGUAAUUAUCAAACCUGUGUCGUUCCCUGUGAAGAGCAUACUCUGACUGUUUAGUGGUAAUAUCGCUGAUUAAUAUGAGAAAUUCAGUACAGUGAUGUUAUCCAGCUUUGGGGAUUUUCUCCUUCUCUUCCAAAUUUUAGGCAUGAUAUUUUAUGUUCCUCACUCUAUUUAGUUUUUUUCUCCACAAAUUAUUGUCAUUAUCAAACCGGCGUCAUUCCCUGUGAAGAGAUGUGCUUUGUACUCUAACUAUUUAGAGAUUGCUGUCGUUAUCAAUUUUGCUUUUUACUUUAAUUCACAAAUUCAGGUAACAUCUGCACUUUACACUCUAUUAUUCGACUGUUGUAUAUGCACAGUUUACUGGCAUAUUACAUGUAUGCCUGCUACUGCUCCUCAAGCAACCAUCCUGCCUUUCAAAAAAAAGGACCACUGUGUGUGUUGAUUGUAUUUUGCCUGCAGAUUGCUGGUAGUUUCAACUUUAAUAGGUGAAAACUUACAAAUUCUUUUCAGGGGAUGCAGUGUAUAUAGCAAAAUCAAACUCCCCCAAAACGGAUUUGUAAGUUUUCACCAAUUUUGUUCCUGUAGGAGCACAAUUCGUCUAUGUUCACUCACCGAUGUUUUUUCAAUUCCGCUUCUUGUGAUUUAUCUUUUUCUUUUUAAAAAGAAAAACUAACAUCAUAUUGACCUAAUUAAUGCCUAACAUGUACACACAAAGAGUUGCUACUGUUUUAUUCGUUAUACACACCUCCUGUACUUUUGGUCUCCUCUCGAAUUUCACCAAUCACAUUUUACUUUGUCUGUGUAUUUGUAGUAGUAGAUUUUGAUUAGUUUUAUGUUUCUUCUUUCUUUGUUCAUCACUCUAUCUUGUGUUGCUCGGACUCUUUAAAAAAUCGAUUGGUGCGUGUUGGAUUCUUCAAAAGUUUGUAUUUUUUGGAGAAUCCAAUACGGGUGUGAUAUCAAAUGUGAAGAAUCCGCGCAACUUAGAAUCUUUCUAUAUUUUAGUUUCAUGUUCUAUUUAUAUAUAUAUGCUGGUCUGUUGUCCGAUUUUGUACUAAAUAGGUUUAAUUGUUUUAUCGAGUGUUCCAGAUAGGUUGUUAAUGCUAUAGAUAGCGGUCCAAAUAUAUAGUUUGCCACAAUAUGAUAGAGUUAUACCACAUUCACAAAUCAUAAGUUAUUAAUAGGACUUGACAUUAUCAUGGUGGUUUGAAUGCAGAUAAGGAAAAGUUGUAACAAACAAAGAAACGAAAGUUCGCAAUAGAUGAGGAUGAUUAAGAGUCAUCGUACUAAGAAUCCAAAAGAAUACCCCUUCGCUAUUGUAUAUGUGUCAUUUUUUAAAUGAGAUUCUUUUCUAUUCUAGCCUAUUUUUUCUGUUGAGUUUUACCUACUGUGUUUCUUUUAUCUUAUUUUCAAUGCACUUAUUAAAGAUAACCAAAAUUGACAAA